Molecule: long non-coding RNA, 588 nt
Organism: Coturnix japonica (Japanese quail)
Lineage: Eukaryota; Metazoa; Chordata; Aves; Galliformes; Phasianidae
Source: RefSeq, a predicted model, not a curated record
CUAUGGCUCCUUUUCAAACCUGCUUGUGGUUGAAGUUCUUCUCUAUGUUUUAUAGAGCUUCUUGCACAAACCAUUCAUUUUCCUGACUUUUCAUCAGAGUUCAUCCCUCUCUCUGCCAUUGGCCACGUGAAGUUUUUAUCUAUUGUUUUCUCUAGAUUUAAUCAUUUAUGCCAUUUUGUUUCAUCACUGUUUACCUGAGGCAAAGUCCAAACCUGACUCGCUUACAAAUGGCCCCCAGCUGAUUCUGAUGAGUGGUUUCCCAAAGGAUAAUGAAAGCUCUGCAUGAAAGAAGCUCCCACUCCCUACACACUGCUGGUGUUUAGAGAAUAGAGAGUGCUUAGAAAAAGGGCUACAAGCUGUGCAGGUUCAGUGCGUGCUUUCAGACUUCUGACUAUUAGCACUUUCCUUCCAGUGGAAGAGGUAACUUCUUAAACGCCCCAGGGCAUGGAUGUCCAAGCUUUUGGCUUGUCUGGGCCACACUGAGAGAAGAGGAAUCAUCUUGGGCUGCAUCUACAUACGUCACUCCAAAGGUAAUGCCUCCUAUUUAUUUCCAUUGCAAAUACAACUGAUACAAAGAGCACAAUAAUA